UGUCGUGAGGCAUGCUGGAGGUAUCAGAAGUGCGAAUGCUGACAUAAGUAACGAUAAAGCGGGUGAAAAGCCCGCUCGCCGGAAGACCAAGGGUUCCUGUCCAACGUUAAUCGGGGCAGGGUGAGUCGACCCCUAAGGCGAGGCCGAAAGGCGUAGUCGAUGGGAAACGGGUUAAUAUUCCCGUACUUGGUGUUACUGCGAAGGGGGGACGGAGAAGGCUAUGUUGGCCGGGCGACGGUUGUCCCGGUUUAAGCGUGUAGGCUGGUUUUCCAGGCAAAUCCGGAAAAUCAAGGCUGAGGCGUGAUGACGAGGCACUACGGUGCUGAAGCAACAAAUGCCCUGCUUCCAGGAAAAGCCUCUAAGCAUCAGGUAACAUCAAAUCGUACCCCAAACCGACACAGGUGGUCAGGUAGAGAAUACCAAGGCGCUUGAGAGAACUCGGGUGAAGGAACUAGGCAAAAUGGUGCCGUAACUUCGGGAGAAGGCACGCUGACACGUAGGUGAAGUGAUUUACUCAU
Molecule: ribosomal RNA, 518 nt
Filed under: Salmonella enterica subsp. enterica serovar Corvallis
Lineage: Bacteria; Pseudomonadati; Pseudomonadota; Gammaproteobacteria; Enterobacterales; Enterobacteriaceae
Description: partial 23S ribosomal RNA
Rfam family: Bacterial large subunit ribosomal RNA
Source: RNAcentral